This 373-nucleotide RNase P RNA is filed under the name Pseudoclavibacter caeni. RNAcentral describes it as "Pseudoclavibacter sp. MJ28 Bacterial RNase P class A". It matches the Rfam family "Bacterial RNase P class A". From Rfam's summary of the family: Ribonuclease P (RNase P) is a ubiquitous endoribonuclease, found in archaea, bacteria and eukarya as well as chloroplasts and mitochondria. The record is from Rfam by way of RNAcentral. Lineage: Bacteria; Bacillati; Actinomycetota; Actinomycetes; Micrococcales; Microbacteriaceae.
UGGGAUGCCCAUGCGGUCGCGUGCCGGAGAGAUCCGGCCCGAGGAACGUCCGGGCUCCACAGGGCACGAUGGUGGGUAACGCCCACCCGGGGUGACCCGAGAGCAAGUGCAGCAGAGAGCAGACCGCCGGCGGGGCUCAGGCCCGGUCGGCAAGGGUGAAACGGUGGUGUAAGAGACCACCAGUGGUCGUGGUGACACGGCCAGCUGGGCAAACCUCAUCGGGAGCAAGACCGAGCAGGAGGCGGGCGGCCCGUCCAUGCCUCCGGGUAGGUCGCUGGAGCGCGUCAGCGAUGGCGCGCCGAGAGAGAUGGCCGCACCCGGUCGGGGUCUUCCCGACCGGCGACAGAACCCGGCGUAUCGGGCAUCCCAUCCA